Long non-coding RNA from Dreissena polymorpha, 566 nucleotides. RefSeq lists it as uncharacterized. The record is from RefSeq and is a predicted model, not a curated record. The transcript has 3 exons. NCBI's taxonomy places the organism in Eukaryota, Metazoa, Mollusca, Bivalvia, Myida, Dreissenidae.
CACCUCUGUGUUGGGCUCAGGUAGCAGUACACGGUAGGAAGCAGAAAUAUGCGAAUUGGCCCCGGUCAAAAAGUGAAAUAUUGGGAAAGGGUAGGUUUCCAUGUCAAAUUUGAGGGUGAUAGGUCUUAUUGUAUCCCCAAAUUGCAUUAAAUCCUGAGAAUAUGACCAUUUUCAAAUGCGAAACUGUGGGGUCAUGACCUCUUAUUGUUGUUGUGUUCUUUGUUACUCAGGAAGGAAAACUGCGGUUCAUUGUUUUCUGAAUUGAGCGUGGUGGAGAUCAAGAAGGCGUCCGCGGCUCCGAGAGAGUGUGUGUCUACCGUGGUCUGCUACCUUAAGUGGUUCAUUGUUUUCUGAAUUGAGCGUGGUGGAGAUCAAGAAGGCGUCCGCGGCUCCGAGAGAGUGUGUGUCUACCGUGGUCUGCUACCUCAGAACGGACUAUUGUUAUGAAAGCGUCUCAUUCAUGUCAUGAUCAUACCAAGCGUUUAUCAUUGAGGUUACAGUAUACUAAACAAUCUCUUGCACGACGGUUACAUUGCAUUCACUGCAUUAAAGAAAACCAUCUCAUA